RNA transcript from Triticum aestivum (bread wheat), 1567 nucleotides. It is a transcript of the gene named probable strigolactone esterase DAD2, with no coding region annotated. NCBI's taxonomy places the organism in Eukaryota, Viridiplantae, Streptophyta, Magnoliopsida, Poales, Poaceae. The transcript has 5 exons. The record is from RefSeq and is a predicted model, not a curated record.
CUAAACAUACAAAGAGUUACACGCAAUCAAAUUAAUCAUUUUUAUAAAACCUUGUAACUCGUUUGUACGUGUAGCAUUACUCCCUUCUCCCUCCUGCCCACACGAACACCACUAACGCCCAAACCGUCACUGCCGUCGAAGGCCGCCGCGAGCAAGGCGAACCUCAUCUCGGGCCAGGAGCAAGGCGAACUGAACUGAUCCAGCGACCACAACCCCGAAUUCGGAGCUUCUUCCCCGGCUCCGGCAACCCCUUCGAGACUCGGUUAUUCUUGUCUAGACAGAUUCCACGAUGUCUCAACCAUCAUCAUCAUCAUUCCAUGGAAGUGACGUGCGAGGAGACGAUUUCACUCCCGCCAUAGAUCGGAGAAGCAUGCAAAGACUGGAGGGGCACGAACUCAUAAAAGCAUUGAACGUGAAGUAUACCCCAGGGGCUCAGCCCUUGUUAGUCCUCUCACAUGGCUUUGGUUGUGACAAGUCUGUUUGGCACAAGGUGAUUUCUAACUUGAGAGAUUCAGAAAUUCAUAGUGGUAUUCUUACGUAUGAUCUUGCCUUUUCGGGAAAAGUUGGUAAGGAUUAUUACCACAAAUAUUCAGAUAGAUACCAAACAAUCGAUGGAUAUGUAGAGGACAUUGUAUCUAUCCUCCAACACUACAGUAUCCAUACAUGCAUUUUUGUUGGCCAUUCAACUUCUGGACUGGUAGGCCUACAAGCUUCCAUUCGGCACAGAGACCUGUUUAGCCAACUCGUCCUUAUCGGCACUGCCCCCUGCGCUCUAGACAAAUUCCCUGAUUACAUGAUAGGGUAUUCAAGGGAAAGGGCAGAUGAGAGGCUUAAAUUGAUGGAAGUGGAUUACAAGAAAUUUGUGGAAACAUAUAUUGAGAUUGCACUUCCAGGGAACACCAAAGACAGCGCCAAGCUGAAACUAAACACAUGUUGUCGAGGACGACCGGAGAUGUUGUUAAAUCAAUGGCGACGAUGGUAUUCAACACAGACCUGUGCCCCAUGCUGCCACUUGUGACAUCUGCAUGCACCAUCAUUAGCACAAGUGCCAAUACUGUUGCAUCAACAUUUGCUCAAAACUAUAUGAUGCAGCAGAUGAAGAAUGCUAGAAUCACACUAGUAGAGGUCAAGACCAAGGGCCACCUACCACAUCUUACCGCCGGAAAGAUGGUUGCGAAGCACAUCUCAGAUGUCAUUCAUGAGUGGAUAGCAAGAACUGAGCCAUUAACUUCCAUACCUCCUAGCCUAUUGCCUUCGUAUGAUAGGCUGCGUGAAGAGAUUAGGGUACUUAAAGAAGAAAACAUGUUGCUGAAGAGAGAGAACGAAGCUCUGAAGAAGCCAGCGAUUGAUGAGACCACCAAACUGGCAACGGUGUCCCGGCCAGGUGGUGGAAGCCAUGAAUCAUCACCAGGCAGCGGAGGUUCUUGACCAAAUAAGCGCAUUGGAACUUGAUGGUUCUUCCUCCUAGUAUGAUUUGUGUCCUGUUUUCGCAUGUGUGUGUGCUCUGGCUGUGUGCGCGUGGGCGUGGUCUGGCUGUUAGCGCCUUGGUGUGCUUGUUGUGCAUGUU